Long non-coding RNA from Aquila chrysaetos chrysaetos, 287 nucleotides. RefSeq lists it as uncharacterized. The transcript has 3 exons. The record is from RefSeq and is a predicted model, not a curated record. Lineage: Eukaryota; Metazoa; Chordata; Aves; Accipitriformes; Accipitridae.
AUGAUCAUAGUACCUGUUGUCCUUACAGGCGUGUAUGACUGAAAUACCAGAAGCAAAAGCAAAUGAGAGGAGUUCUUAUUUACAGCACCUCUAGCUGCACAUCUCUUCUUGGAAUAGCACAGACAGGGACGAGAAGACUGGUGCCUUUGAAGAAAGCGAUGUGAAAAGGGCAUUGGCACAGAUUUUAUAUUCUGAAGACAGUGCUGGGUGAAUGAGAAGGUUUUUUGACAAGCUGCCACUAUUAAGCACUCAUGGAUAGAGCUCACCUUUUUGGAGGAGUGAGCAAU